CAGCAGCCGCGGGAAUGCGGAGGGUGCAAGCGUUAAUCGGAAUUACUGGGCGUAAAGCGUGCGUAGGCGGUUCGUUAAGUCUGUUGUGAAAGCCCCGGGCUCAACCUGGGAAUGGCAAUGGAUACUGGCGAGCUAGAGUGUGUCAGAGGAUGGUGGAAUUCCCGGUGUAGCGGUGAAAUGCGUAGAGAUCGGGAGGAACAUCAGUGGCGAAGGCGGCCAUCUGGGACAACACUGACGCUGAGGCACGAAAGCGUGGGGAGCAAACAGGAUUAGAUACCCCGGUAGUCCCUGUCUCUUAUAA
Molecule: ribosomal RNA, 301 nt
Filed under: uncultured bacterium
Lineage: Bacteria
Description: partial 16S ribosomal RNA
Rfam family: Bacterial small subunit ribosomal RNA
Source: RNAcentral